AUGGAAGAUGAACCUCCAAUCUUUGCUGAAGAGGAGGCUGGUCCUAGUAAGAAAAAGAAGAAACAGAAACGCAAGACAAUAAAGCAGACUCAAUGCAAGGCAAAAAUGUUGGUGAAGCUAAUGGAUGGGCGAUGGGAGGUGACGCACUUUGUUCGUGACCACAAUCAUCCGCUGGUGAAUAGUACUUCGUUGUCCAAAUACUUGAGAUCCCACCAAGGCAUCUCUCCUGAUGAAAAGGAGUUUUUGCGCAUCUUGUAUAACUGCAACUUGACUACAAGUGAUUACCAUCCAAGUGCCAUGAUGGGCCGUGCUACUACAGCACCCACGCACACUGCUCCUACUGCCUCGUCGGAGGCUGCAUCCCCUGCACAAGCCUCUGAUGAUUUUGUGCCCAGGUAUCAUCCAAGGUCUACUAUAAAGGGUAGGGCGAGUCGACGGUACAAAUCGGCGCUGGAGCUACACCCAAAGAAGAAAAACAAAUGCAGCCAGUGCCAAUCUACGGACCGCACUGCCGGUGUGUGUCCACUCAGGCUGCUGUGA
Molecule: ribosomal RNA, 540 nt
Filed under: Triticum aestivum (bread wheat)
Lineage: Eukaryota; Viridiplantae; Streptophyta; Magnoliopsida; Poales; Poaceae
Description: partial small subunit ribosomal RNA
Source: RNAcentral